Molecule: ribosomal RNA, 759 nt
Filed under: Triticum aestivum (bread wheat)
Lineage: Eukaryota; Viridiplantae; Streptophyta; Magnoliopsida; Poales; Poaceae
Description: partial small subunit ribosomal RNA
Source: RNAcentral
AUGUUUUCUAUCUGCGCGGACCUGUUACUCCUCGUCUUCACGGUUGCACGCUCUGGGCACUGGGAUAUACGAUUUCGUCGGACGUUUGGGCAGGCGAAGAAUAUCGAGUGGUCUAGGUUACGGGCAGCCCUACCACCGGUAUUGUCGGAUCAUCCGAACACCGUGUCCUGGCGGAUCUCACCGUCAGGAGAGUUCUCCGUCAACUCCGCAUACCAGGCAUUAUGUCGGUCCCCCACCAUUCAUUGGCUUUCUCCCUUGUGGAAGGCCCCUUUGCCCUUGAAGAUCAAGAUCUUUGUUUGGCAACUCCUUGGAGAUCGUCUCCCUUCGGGGACGGAGGUGCGUAAGCGGCAAGGCCCGGGGGAUGGCCUGUGCCCCUUAUGCACGGUGCCUGAGAAUGGAACUCACAUCCUAUUCUCAUGUACCACGGCUCGGGUCUUAUGGACAUUCGUCUGUGAGGCGCUAGGGCCCGAUUGGGAGGCCCUGGACCUCGCGGACUUCCUCCAAACCAGGGCUGCCCAACCUGGACGACAGCGCCGCUUAUUUUGGCUUAUUUUUGCAGCCAUGUCGUGGACUCUUUGGACAACGCGUAAUAAAAUGGUGAUUGAGCGGGUGUUUUCGAGGCGAGCGUCUGACAACUCCUUCAAAUUCCUUGCUUUUCUGCAGCACUGUCACCUGCUUACUAGGCAACACGACCGCAACCGUCUUGGCCUCAUGCUAGAUGCGCUCCUAGCUACAGCACACCGAUUAUCGUCUUCGUAG